This is a long non-coding RNA of Alnus glutinosa, 1651 nucleotides long. RefSeq lists it as uncharacterized. The transcript is spliced from 2 exons. Lineage: Eukaryota; Viridiplantae; Streptophyta; Magnoliopsida; Fagales; Betulaceae. The record is from RefSeq and is a predicted model, not a curated record.
UAAAGAUGAAAAAUGAUUAUUAUGUGAAUAAAUAAACGAUCAAUUGUUUGAUAAAUAUUUUCAACUGAUUUAAUAAACGGUGUUUUAAUAAAUCUGAUAAUCCGAAAAUUUACUAAGUUAAUAAAAUAGGCAGAUAUGAAUAAAAUAUCAUUAAUUAUAAUUCCCAACCAACGCAUCACUUCACAGUUUUAAUCUACUCGGUGUUCUUCAAUCUGCCGCACUGAAACUCCUACUCUGCCUAAUUAUUCCCACCAUUUUCUCCACUCCUCAUUAUUAUAAGUCUAUCGAUGCAAUGAGUAAUUAGUGGGCAGCUUGUCAUUGCACUCAUGAAUAGAAUAAACUCUAUAAUAUAAUCAUUAGUUUCCAUUAUUAGUUUAUUAACCACAUUAUAUAGUCGAACACUUAGUGGACAGCUUGUCAUUGCACUCAUGAAUAGAAUAAACUCUAUAAUAUAAUCAUUAGUUUCCAUUAUUAGUUUAUUAACCACAUUAUAUAGUCGAGCACCUUCCCUCUGCAGACGCACUUCUCCUUCUUUUUCAUUAUGCCUGCUCCUUUUCUUGUUAUCCCUUCUUUCCAGCACAUUAUGUUUAAUGAUAUUAUAUUUAUAAGUGGCCGACUAUCAUAAUUGGAACACUAUUUCCAGCACCUUCCUUCUCUUCCUUCAUUAUUUUAUAACCCCACUUUAGUUCCUUAAGUUUCUUCUUCUCUGCCUUCUUCUUCACGGUGGCACAGUGAAAGUCAGAGCAAUGAGAGCGUGAGAUGUGAGAAGAGAGAAACUAAUCGAGAGAGAGAGAGAGAAGUUGUCUGAGAGUGAGACUGAAACGGAGAGAAAGGCAGCACCUGAGAGAUGGGAAGAGAGAGAUCCGGGUGGCCCGUGAAGGUGAAACCCGGAGAUACCGUAGCAGAACCUGUGACCCGUGACCCAGCCGAACCGUAGCAGAUCGAUCCAAACUCGGCCGGGUUCCGGCCGAUUGUAGCAGACCCGAGAGUAGAGAGACCGUGAGAUGUCGAGGGAGAUCGGGAAGUUGAGGAGUGCCCGGACCCGAUCCUCCGGUGGGUGGCGCCGACGAGGCCAGAAGACACCGACGACACGACCUCCGGCGAGCCCGUGAGAACCCAUAGCCCAGAUCCCAGCUACUGGUCAAAACCCAUCUCAGACCCGGCGAGAUCUAACCCGCAAACCCAGUAACCGUGCGUGAAAUCAUGACCCGAACCGUGAGACCACAGAGGCCCAAAACCCGUAGCCCAGACCUGCAGACCCAUGGGCUGACUUCAGCCCAGGCCCGCUGAGCCCAAACCCGGCAGUGAUCCCCAACCCAUGACCCGAACCCGGAAACCUGACCCACCGGCGACCCGUCUCCGGUAGACACUCCGGCGACUUUUCCGGCGACUUUCCGGCGACCGAACUCACUAUUUUCACUGGAUUUUCUAGUAAAAAUCCUUAAUAUGAUGAACUGAGAAACUGUACAAAAAGACUCCCAUGUUGCAGGUACGAAAGUGUAUAAAGCUCAAGGAUAGGAGUUUGUUAACAUUACAGGAAUUAGAACUGUUCGAUAAUGUAGUUGAUGAUUGUAGUGAAUUCUUGUAUCAAUUUGAAAUGUAAUACUUUAAUUACGUUUAUCACUCAAUAAAGCUUUGAUGUGUUAUUUAA